GAGGGUAUAGUUCAGUGGUAGAGUGUGUGCUUAGCAUGCACAAGGUCCUGGGUUCAAUCCCCAGUACCACUG
RNAcentral lists this transfer RNA (72 nucleotides) under Camelus bactrianus (Bactrian camel). It matches the Rfam family "tRNA". From Rfam's summary of the family: Transfer RNA (tRNA) molecules are approximately 80 nucleotides in length. Their secondary structure includes four short double-helical elements and three loops (D, anti-codon, and T loops). Lineage: Eukaryota; Metazoa; Chordata; Mammalia; Artiodactyla; Camelidae. RNAcentral also lists the same sequence under 2 other names. The record is from Rfam by way of RNAcentral.